GCGAAUAUGGGGAUGGGGAUGGGCAUGGGCGGCUACGGCGGUGGCAUGAAUCCACCACCAAUGGGGAUGAUGGGUGGUUAUGGUGGUGGAGGCAUGAAUCAACCAGCCUCGAUGGGGAUGAACAUGGGCGGUUAUGGUGGGGGCAUGAAUCAACAACCAUACAUGGGGAUGAACAUGGGCAUGGGUCCCAUCGGAAUGACUCCGGCUGCUCCUGGCAUAUCCGGCUUUGGCUACAAUCCAAUGGCAGGCAUGAACAACUACAAUCCGCAGCAGCAGCAGCA
Molecule: unclassified non-coding RNA, 281 nt
Filed under: Hevea brasiliensis (rubber tree)
Lineage: Eukaryota; Viridiplantae; Streptophyta; Magnoliopsida; Malpighiales; Euphorbiaceae
Source: RNAcentral